RNAcentral lists this unclassified non-coding RNA (1712 nucleotides) under Leishmania donovani. RNAcentral's name for it is "gene:LdHU3.11.1670(CDS-product:Ribosomal_protein_ L4/L1_family_putative)". The record is from RNAcentral. Lineage: Eukaryota; Euglenozoa; Kinetoplastea; Trypanosomatida; Trypanosomatidae.
CUGCCGACGCAGUGCGCGCUCUGCUGGGCGAAUUUGGAAGCCUCCCCUCUUUUUCACUGUGAGCUGCUGCCGUGCGGUUUAGCGCAGAUGCGACGCGUUCCCAGAUCGAUCGCUGACACCUCGGCACAGGUUCGCUGCUUCGUGUUCGGAGCGAUGUACGACAGUCGCUCAUCGGGUGUGCACGACGUGGCACCACGAGAUGAAGUCGACUUCAUGUACGAGGGACCACACCAGGUACUCCCGGGUGCGCAUCCGCUGCCGCUUUUCCACCCCAACAACUCUGUCACACGACCACCCGUAUCCCCUUACCUGCCGUCUCCUCAGCGGCCACACCCGUACUUCACCCACGAACUGCCGGAGCUGCCACAUUUUCAGACAACGAGGCCGAUCGUCUACACCGUGGGCACAAUGAAGCAACGCAUCGUGGCGCCGGUGUUCGACCUCUCGAACAACGUCACGCACACUCGCGAGUUGGACCCGUUCAUAUUCGGCUUUUACCCGGAAACAGAGGAGAUGGCCAAAAACCUGAGCUACUGGCUCGUGCGCUGCCAGAACUUUUCCAGCAAGUGGGACUACGAGAACCGCGAGAUUUGGCGAAAGGCCAAGAAGAACUGGCCGAAUACGGGCAUGGGCAUGGCACGCGUUGGCGACCGCAAGAACCACGCCCACCCAUGGGGAGCGCAAUCAAAGCCGGUGAAGCCGUGGAACAUGCUCAUGCCAACAAUGGAUGUUAAGACGUGGAGCAAGAGUAAUCGCAUGCUCGUCACGCUCAAGAUGCUGCAGGGAAAACUGCAAAUUGUGGAGCGUCUGACGCUGCCCGAGCCCACGCAGGAGGCGUACCUGCAGCUGUGCCGCACCAUGGGCUGGGACGUGCGACACACGGGCGGUGGCGCACUGUUCAUGGAUGGGGGCUCGCGGCUGACGCCGAGCAGCGAGUACGAUCGCGCGUUCUUCUUUGGUAGCUUUUUCAAUGGGCGCAACAAGCUGGUCCGUCCGACGCUGUUGUGCGACGAGCCCUACGACUACAACCGCACCUCUUCCAAGGCGCGCACCAAAGGCCCGAAGGGCCAGAAGAACCCCAUCCCCAUCAACCGAUUUAACGCCUACGACGCUCUCACCCACGACACUCUCAUCAUUACGGAAGGCGCACUAAUGCAACUUGAAGAUGAGAUGUACACGCACAAGUUGGCAAUACUACCGCCGCACAUCCGCGCGCAAUUGCCGGAGCGUGGGUUUCUCGACAGCGAGGUCUUGGGUGACGUGCCGCCUGCACUGCAGACUGUCCAGAUGGAGGCGGCGGCGCGCACGGAGGAGGCAGAGCGGGCAAUGUACGCCCCAUACUACGACAACCCAUAUCACCCAUGGAAGGAUGAGGGUGAGGCGUCGUACGCCGUGGACGCUGUCGAAGGGACGGUGCAGCGCUACAUCAAGUCUCGCAAGACGUCGUGGAUGAUGCUCUCGUAGAAUACCGCACAUCACAGAUGUACGUGACUGGGCCGGUGUUCGUUCUGCCGGCGCGCGGCCGCUGAAGGACUCGUGCACGUUGUGUGCACGAACGCCGUUUUGCGACUCCAGCUGUGUCCGUCAAACACACACGCAAGCACACGCAUCUCGCUGUGCUGACGAGUGGUGCAUCUAAGGCGAUGGCUGCUGGUGAUUAGUGCUGUUGUGUUUUGUUUCAGUUACUGGGUUACAUUUCCAUACACACAAAG